GACGAACGCUGGCGGCGUGCCUAAUACAUGCAAGUCGAACGCAUUUUCUUUCACCGUAGCUUGCUACACCGAAAGAAAAUGAGUGGCGAACGGGUGAGUAACACGUGUGUAACCUGCCCAUCAGCGGGGGAUAACACUUGGAAACAGGUGCUAAUACCGCAUAAUUCCAUUUACUGCAUGGUAGAUGGAUGAAAGGCGCUUUUGCGUCACUGAUGGAUGGACCCGCGGUGCAUUAGCUAGUUGGUGGGGUAACGGCCUACCAAGGCUGCGAUGCAUAGCCGACCUGAGAGGGUGAUCGGCCACCAUGGGACUGAGACACGGCCCAGACUCCUACGGGAGGCAGCAGUAGGGAAUCUUCGGCAAUGGACGCAAGUCUGACCGAGCAACGCCGCGUGAGUGAAGAAGGUUUUCGGAUCGUAAAACUCUGUUGUUAGAAAAGAACAAGGAUGAGAGUGGAAAGUUCAUCCCUUGACGGUAUCUAACCAGAAAGCCACGGCUAACUACGUG
RNAcentral lists this ribosomal RNA (507 nucleotides) under uncultured bacterium. Its description in RNAcentral is "partial 16S ribosomal RNA". It matches the Rfam family "Bacterial small subunit ribosomal RNA", at positions 28 to 507 of the family's 1533-position model. The record is from RNAcentral.